This 459-nucleotide ribosomal RNA is filed under the name uncultured bacterium. RNAcentral's name for it is "partial 16S ribosomal RNA". It matches the Rfam family "Bacterial small subunit ribosomal RNA", at positions 338 to 795 of the family's 1533-position model. The record is from RNAcentral.
CCUACGGGUGGCAGCAGUGAGGAAUAUUGGUCAAUGGGAGAGAUCCUGAACCAGCCAAGCCGCGUGAGGGAAGACGGCCCUAUGGGUUGUAAACCUCUUUUGUCGGAGAACAAAACCUGGGACGUGUCCCGUUCUGCGUGUACCCUACGAACCAGCAUCGGCUAACCCCGUGCCAGCAGCCGCGGUAAUACGGGGGAUGCGAGCGUUAUCCGGAUUUAUUGGGUUAAAGGGGUGCGUGGCCGGUCCGUUAUGUCAGCGGUAAAAUUGCGGGGCUCAACCCCGACGAGCCGUUGAAACUGGCAGACUUGAGUUGGCGAGAGGGACGCGGAAUGCGCGGUGUAGCGGUGAAAUGCAUAGAGAUCGCGCAGAACUCCGAUUGCGAAGGCAGCGUACCGGAGCAAGACUGACGCUGAGGCACGAAAGCGUGGGGAUCGAACAGGAUUAGAUACCCGUGUAGUC